CCCAAAUGUAAUCCAGUCCCCCAAUAAGGCAACAUGAUGUGACGAUGGCGGUAAUGAAAAUGUGCGUGGUAUAGUAUUAUCAUUGGGGUACUUGAUAUCGACGCAUUCGUUUCUCAGUGUCACUGAAGAGCACGAUGGGGUGGUCUCUUUGGAGUAUCUUUGCUUGGAAAAACUUAACUAGAACCUAAAAUGCCAUUUCAUGCCUUUUUCCACGAGCAAAUUAUUUCAGCCAUGGUUUAGGUUUCUGGCGAUGUUUAAAUUUCAGUCCCCAAAAUUCCUACCGAGGCAUGCAACUAACUCGGUUGACUCAUAGCUAGUUACGGACCUGCAGAUGAUGGUCAAAUUCAGAAAUGUUAACAGCUUACGACUUCAUUUUCUCACUUUGAUAUACAAUUGCUGGUUGACCACCUUCUGCAGAUAGUUUUUAG
Molecule: non-coding RNA, 428 nt
Organism: Paramuricea clavata
Lineage: Eukaryota; Metazoa; Cnidaria; Anthozoa; Malacalcyonacea; Plexauridae
Source: the annotation of a GenBank genome assembly